GAUGAUCAUUGAUCAUUAAUUAUUAGUUCUAUUAUGGCGACUUCGUCGUUCGGUCAUGCUGCAGAUAAGAUUCCUCGU
This 78-nucleotide non-coding RNA is filed under the name Fragilariopsis kerguelensis. Lineage: Eukaryota; Bacillariophyta; Bacillariophyceae; Bacillariales; Bacillariaceae. The record is from RNAcentral.